UUCAACAAAAGAAAUAUAAGCUGCUGAAAACAGAAACAUGUACAAUUUCAUAGAACUUGCACUUUCAAAUUGUUGUACCUUUGCAAAGUGGUCUUAUUAGUAAAUGUUUAUCUGCGGACAUUACAAGUAAAGUUUUAUCUGCUUAAGGAAAGUUUAUUUACCCAAAGAGACAUACAUGAAUGAAAAAUAAUUUUACAAAAAAAUUGGAAACAGACUACCACAUAUUACACAACCUAUAAAGGUGCAUCUUCAACCAUGGAAAAAUCAAAUUCUUCACAAAUUUUGAUUACCAAACGCUACAGCCUGAUGUACACCCGAUAACACACACGAGGAUUCGGUUGUGAAUUGAGAAAGAUUACAUGAUUCAAAUUAGGUGGCACAUCCCGAAAAAAAUCAAUAUAUCUGAACAAUCAAUUCAAGAACUAAUGCAUAAAAGAGUAUAUUUUGGACCCAAGGUUAGCUGCAUUAUUCAUUGAACACCAUACCUUACCCCUUUUCAGAAAAUACAGCAUCCAACUUCAUAGAAUUAUACGUUUACACCCUUUGUUUUCCUUCUAUGCUAAUUAUAUGGUAGAGAGACCCACAAAAAAAAUAUCGCCCAUUCCCAAUGCAAAAAAUACAUCAUCUGCCAUAUUUUCCAAUUCCCAAUGCAAAAAAUACAUCAUCCACCAAUUACAUCAUGAAGGAAAUCAUAGGCGUCACAAAAGCCAAAAGGCCAAUGACAAAAAGCCAAUGAAUGAAUCUGAACAAAAGUCCACCAUAGUGAAGACGAUGAUCGUAUAAUGGAAACAAAGUACUAACUGACUAGCUAUCUAAAGAUAUUUCAUCCAAAAUAAGGAUCAACUAUGGUCUCUGAGCUUAACAAUUAAUCAAAUUACAACACAUAGAGUGCCUUUUUUCUCAAGAACCCAAACGUUAAACAUUAGCAAAUAUUGGGAACGAAAGGGGCGAGUACAAGGUUAGCUCCCCAACUAUGUUACAACUCACAUGGUACAUGUUGGGCAAAGCACCAUGUCAACAUGGAUGAGAGUGGGAAUUAUGUUCCAGACAAGGCAUUUCAAUGCCGGGCACCCUGUUUCUAUGCAUUUGUCACCUGAGGGCUAUUAUGGGCUGUUACACUUAUAGCACAUAUUUAUUGUUUGUUUUCGCGGCUUGGACAUUUCUGGCAGGCAUCAAGUAUCGCAAUUAACGAGUUUUCGAACUCGAGUCCAGUAAGGGAAGCUGAACAAGGCUCAUGGGGUGACAAUUUGUUAAAGAGUUUAAACUUGGGACUUUGGAGCCUUAAUUGUCUUACUCAUGGUUUUGGUCCAACAAAAUUCAUACCAAAAAAAUUUCUCGGCGAACUUUCAAUAUCUCUGUAUGGAUAAAAUAAUUAUUUCUAAAUUGAGCAUAUCCCCAUGCCUACAUCAAAA
Rhododendron vialii is the source of this 1412-nucleotide long non-coding RNA. RefSeq lists it as uncharacterized. Lineage: Eukaryota; Viridiplantae; Streptophyta; Magnoliopsida; Ericales; Ericaceae. The record is from RefSeq and is a predicted model, not a curated record. The transcript is spliced from 2 exons.